Molecule: ribosomal RNA, 497 nt
Filed under: uncultured bacterium
Lineage: Bacteria
Description: partial 16S ribosomal RNA
Rfam family: Bacterial small subunit ribosomal RNA
Source: RNAcentral
GAUGAACGCUGGCGGCGUGCCUAAUACAUGCAAGUCGAGCGAACAGAUGAGGAGCUUGCUCCUCUGACGUUAGCGGCGGACGGGUGAGUAACACGUGGAUAACCUACCUAUAAGACUGGGAUAACUUCGGGAAACCGGAGCUAAUACCGGAUAAUCUCUUGAACCGCAUGGUUCGAUAGUGAAUGACGGUUUUGCUGUCACUUAUAGAUGGAUCCGCGCCGCAUUAGCUAGUUGGUAAGGUAACGGCUUACCAAGGCAACGAUGCGUGGCCGACCGGAGAGAGUGAUCGGCCACACUGGAACUGAGACACGGUCCAGACUCCUACGGGAGGCAGCAGUAGGGAAUCUGCCGCAAUGGGCGAAAGCCUGACGGAGCAACGCCGCGUGAGUGAUGAAGGUCUUCGGAUCGUAAAACUCUGUUAUUAGGGAAGAACAAAUGUGUAAGUAACUAUGCACGUCUUGACGGUACCUAAUCAGAAAGCCACGGCUAACUACGUG